This 161-nucleotide small nuclear RNA is filed under the name Helianthus annuus (common sunflower). RNAcentral describes it as "U1 spliceosomal RNA". It matches the Rfam family "U1 spliceosomal RNA". Rfam says of the family: U1 is a small nuclear RNA (snRNA) component of the spliceosome (involved in pre-mRNA splicing). Its 5' end forms complementary base pairs with the 5' splice junction, thus defining the 5' donor site of an intron. Lineage: Eukaryota; Viridiplantae; Streptophyta; Magnoliopsida; Asterales; Asteraceae. The record is from RNAcentral.
UCACUUACCUGGACGGGGUCAAUGGACGACCAAGAAGGUCCAUGGCCUAGGUUGGUGACCUCCAUUGCACUCGGGAGGGGUGCCCGCCUAAGGUCGGCCCAAGUGGUCGAGCCUACGUCAUAAUUUGUGGCAGUGGAGGCCUGCGUUCGCGCGGCCUCUGC